AGUGAACGCUGGCGGUAGGCCUAACACAUGCAAGUCGAACGGCAGCACAGUAAGAGCUUGCUCUUACGGGUGGCGAGUGGCGGACGGGUGAGGAAUACAUCGGAAUCUACUUUUUCGUGGGGGAUAACGUAGGGAAACUUACGCUAAUACCGCAUACGACCUACGGGUGAAAGCAGGGGAUCUUCGGACCUUGCGCGAUUGAAUGAGCCGAUGUCGGAUUAGCUAGUUGGCGGGGUAAAGGCCCACCAAGGCGACGAUCCGUAGCUGGUCUGAGAGGAUGAUCCGCCACACUGGAACUGAGACACGGUCCAGACUCCUACGGGAGGCAGCAGUGGGGAAUAUUGGACAAUGGGCGCAAGCCUGAUCCAGCCAUACCGCGUGGGUGAAGAAGGCCUUCGGGUUGUAAAGCCCUUUUGUUGGGAAAGAAAAGCAGCAGGUUAAUACCCCGCUGUUCUGACGUUACCCAAAGAAUAAGCACCGGCUAACUUCAUG
This 492-nucleotide ribosomal RNA is filed under the name uncultured bacterium. RNAcentral's name for it is "partial 16S ribosomal RNA". It matches the Rfam family "Bacterial small subunit ribosomal RNA", at positions 29 to 507 of the family's 1533-position model. The record is from RNAcentral.